AUACUUACCUGGACGGGGUCGAUGGAUGAUCCUGAAAAUCCAUGGCCUAGGGUAGGGACCUCCAUUGCACUUAGGAGGGGUGCUGCCUUAAGGUCUCCCCAAGUUGGGAGAGCCUACGUCAUGAUUUGUGAAGCGGGGGCCUGCGUUCGCGCGGCCCCUAA
Molecule: small nuclear RNA, 161 nt
Organism: Gossypium arboreum
Lineage: Eukaryota; Viridiplantae; Streptophyta; Magnoliopsida; Malvales; Malvaceae
Rfam family: U1 spliceosomal RNA
About the family: U1 is a small nuclear RNA (snRNA) component of the spliceosome (involved in pre-mRNA splicing). Its 5' end forms complementary base pairs with the 5' splice junction, thus defining the 5' donor site of an intron. There are significant differences in sequence and secondary structure between metazoan and yeast U1 snRNAs, the latter being much longer (568 nucleotides as compared to 164 nucleotides in human).
Source: Rfam